RNAcentral lists this unclassified non-coding RNA (401 nucleotides) under soil metagenome. Its description in RNAcentral is "partial contains 5.8S ribosomal RNA, internal transcribed spacer 2, and large subunit ribosomal RNA". The stretch from base 1 to 122 matches the Rfam family "5.8S ribosomal RNA", at positions 35 to 154 of the family's 154-position model. The record is from RNAcentral.
GAUGAAGAACGUAGCGAAAUGCGAUACUUGGUGUGAAUUGCAGAAUCCCGUGAACCAUCGAGUCUUUGAACGCAAGUUGCGCCUCAAGCCAUUAGGUUGAGGGCACGUCUGCCUGGGCGUCACAUAUCGUUGCCUGAUGCCAGUUUCCUCGUGAUGGGUGACUGUGCAGGGCGAAUGAUGGCUUCCCGUGAGCAUUGUUGCCUCAUGGUUGGUUGAAAAUUGAGUCCUUGGUAGGGAGCGCCGUGAUAGAUGGUGGUUGAGUGACGAACGAGACCCAAUCAUGUGAGACCCCUACCGAAUUUGGCCUUCAUGACCCACAUGCGUCUUUGGAACGCUCAUGACGAGACCUCAGGUCAGGCGGGGCUACCCGCUGAGUUUAAGCAUAUCAAUAAGCCGGAGGA